Non-coding RNA from Paraphysoderma sedebokerense, 73 nucleotides. The record is from the annotation of a GenBank genome assembly. Lineage: Eukaryota; Fungi; Blastocladiomycota; Physodermatomycetes; Physodermatales; Physodermataceae.
GUCCAUGUGGCGCAGUGGAAAGCGCAUUUGCCUCCUAAGCAAAGGGUCGAAGGUUCGAAUCCUUCCUUGGACG